UACGUAGGGGGCUAGCGUUAUCCGGAUUUAUUGGGCGUAAAGGGAACGCAGGCGGUCUUUUAAGUCUGAUGUGAAAGCCUUCGGCUUAACCGGAGUAGUGCAUUGGAAACUGGGAGACUUGAGUGCAGAAGAGGAGAGUGGAACUCCAUGUGUAGCGGUGAAAUGCGUAGAUAUAUGGAAGAACACCAGUGGCGAAAGCGGCUCUCUGGUCUGUAACUGACGCUGAGGUUCGAAAGCGUGGGUAGCAAACAGG
RNAcentral lists this ribosomal RNA (253 nucleotides) under uncultured bacterium. RNAcentral describes it as "partial 16S ribosomal RNA". It matches the Rfam family "Bacterial small subunit ribosomal RNA", at positions 524 to 776 of the family's 1533-position model. The record is from RNAcentral.